This 224-nucleotide ribosomal RNA is filed under the name uncultured bacterium. RNAcentral describes it as "partial 16S ribosomal RNA". It matches the Rfam family "Bacterial small subunit ribosomal RNA", at positions 524 to 745 of the family's 1533-position model. The record is from RNAcentral.
GACAGAGGCCUCAAGCGUUUAGGCGGAAUCACUGGGCUUAAAGCGUGUGUAGGCGGAUCGUUAAGUGUCUUGUGAAAUCCCACGGCUCACCCGUGGAACUGCUGGGCAUACUGGCGAUCUUGGGCCAACUAGGGGCAACUGGAACAAGCGGUGGAGCGGUGAAAUGCGUAGAUAUCGCUUGGAACGCCAAAGGGUGAAAACAGGUUGCUGGGGUUGUGCCGACG